CUUGAUUUCAUUCUAUAUUAUCUUAUUUUUUUUGUUAUUAAUGUUAAGUUACGGCUAGUCUUUUGGAUUCUAUGAAUCAUAUUGUAUCGUUUCUUUGUUUUAUUUUUUGCCAAGGAAACUUUGUAAUGGGUGAAAGCCCUGUUUUCAUAUUUAUAUGAUAUUUGCAUUUUAUCAAAAAAAAAAAAUGUUAAGUUACGUAAGUCUAUAUAGUUUAUGGAGGACAUGUGUAUUUUUCCACUUUUCAACUUAGUUGCUAAGUUUGGAGAAAGAACAUUACAAUUCCCCAAAAAAAUAUCAAAACCUG
This 304-nucleotide long non-coding RNA is filed under the name Capsella rubella. RNAcentral's name for it is "long non-coding RNA (CRUB_LNC001890)". The record is from RNAcentral. Lineage: Eukaryota; Viridiplantae; Streptophyta; Magnoliopsida; Brassicales; Brassicaceae.